Molecule: long non-coding RNA, 338 nt
Organism: Trifolium pratense (red clover)
Lineage: Eukaryota; Viridiplantae; Streptophyta; Magnoliopsida; Fabales; Fabaceae
Exons: 2
Source: RefSeq, a predicted model, not a curated record
CAUAUGGUUGGAUAUGUAUCAUAUAUAGCUAUAGAUAGAAAAGCGAAAGGUGUCACCUGUAGUGCAUAGUCAUCAGGAACAUCUCUUAUGAUCACAGCCAUCGUUACUUAAUCACAUUGCUCUGAAGGGAAGAAUUCAUCUUCAAUGACCAUUUCCAUUUUUAUUGUGUUGGUUUCUAAACAUUUUGCCCCAGUGAGUUGAUUUGGAGAUGAUUUUAUUUACAAUCAGUGCUAGUGAUUUACAUUGUUUUAUUUAAAGAUCAUGAAGUGAAAACAAACUUUUCAUUAUAUUAUAUGGUUUACAAAAGCAAAUGAAAAUUGAUUAUGUGCAGACACAAA